Long non-coding RNA from Canis lupus familiaris (dog), 1364 nucleotides. RefSeq lists it as uncharacterized. The record is from RefSeq and is a predicted model, not a curated record. The transcript is spliced from 5 exons. Lineage: Eukaryota; Metazoa; Chordata; Mammalia; Carnivora; Canidae.
UUAACUUCUUUAUGAUUUUUACCAAGGGUUGCUUCAUUCUGUUGGUGUUUAGGAAAGAAGCUUAUAUAGGGGCGUCUGGGUGGCCCAGGGAGUUAAGCUUCUGCCCGUGGCUGGGGUCCUGAUCCCUAGGUCCUGGGACGGAGCCCCGCUCCUUGCUUCUCCCUCUCCCCUCUACUCGAGCUCUCUCUUGCUAUCUCUCUCAAAUAAAAUCUUGAAAAAAAAAAAAAAAAAAGCCAGAGCAACCAAAGCAAAAACUCUGUUUGCUUUUUCUACAUAGAAAUCUUUGAUGCCCUGACCUGUCCCAGCAUGGUAAUUGACAAGCAAGUCUUAGACUACGUUAGCGAAGUCGUUUUGCCAUUUUGGAAUCCUGAGUACGGCACCAUCAUUCUGUAUUAGGAAUGAAAUUGCUCAGAAACAUCAUUGGAUUCGAAAUGGGAUCUAGCAACAAGUCCAAGUGAUAGACGACCACAGGUUGCACUGGGUUGGUGGUGAUGGUGGAGGAGAUAGAAUUUCAUCGAGACCCAGGGCCAGGAGAAGCAUUCACGGACAGUGUCAGGUAACAAUGCCCUUCCAUGCUUGGCUUCACUCUCAAGAUUUGACAAACGAUACCCUGCCCUUUGGGACAUUCUCAUUCCAGUGAGAUCCAGACACUCAAUUUUUUAAGUGACAAACUGACAGAUUCAUUAAACCAAGGCCUGUAUGUCAGGAAGUAUGAGCCGUUGAUCUGUGUACAGAUGUCACCACUCUUUUAGAAGACAAUUCUUGGGGAUUAUAGACCUGAUAAAUCACACCAUAUUGGUGAACAUAUCCACAUACCCCAACCACACAGAAACAGAAACUCGUAUGCUGGGGAUCCUCCCAGACCUUGCCCUAUGUAUCUCUUCAUCUGGCUUUUCAUCUGUAUCCUUUUGUCAUAUCCUUUAAUAAUCUGAUAAAUGUAUUUCCCUGAGUCCUAUGAACUGCUCUAACAAAAUAAUUGAACCCAGGGAGGGGGUUGUGGUUUGGCUCCAAUUUGUAGUCAAGUUGGACACAGGUUGUGGGUAACCUGAAGACCUAUUACUUGCAAUUGGCAUCUCAAGUGGUGGGCAGUCUCAUGGGCUGUUAACCUGUGGGAUAUGAGGCUAUCUCCAAGUAAACGGUGUCAGACUUGAAUGACAUCAUAGGACACCCAGCUGGUGCCAGAGGCUUAAUUGGUGGGGAACUCUCCCUACCUCUGUAUCUGUUGUGAAUGUGGUUGUGGUGUAAGACUAAAGGAGACUUACUGGAGGAAGAAAAUGACUUUUUCCCAUUACACAUAUAUUUUUUUUUCCAAGUAGGGUACACGCCCAGCAUGGCGCCAACAUGUGGCUUGAACUCACAACCCU